AUUCGACCUCAAAUCAGGUAGGACUACCCGCUGAACUUAAGCAUAUCAAUAAGCGGAGGAAAAGAAACCAACAGGGAUUGCCUUAGUAGCGGCGAGUGAAGCGGCAAAAGCUCAAAUUUGAAAUCUGGCACUUUCAGUGUCCGAGUUGUAAUUUGAAGAAGGUAUCUUUGGGUCUGGCUCUUGUCUAUGUUUCUUGGAACAGAACGUCACAGAGGGUGAGAAUCCCGUGCGAUGAGAUGUCCCAGACCUAUGUAAAGUUCCUUCGAAGAGUCGAGUUGUUUGGGAAUGCAGCUCUAAGUGGGUGGUAAAUUCCAUCUAAAGCUAAAUAUUGGCGAG
RNAcentral lists this ribosomal RNA (336 nucleotides) under Lodderomyces parapsilosis. Its description in RNAcentral is "eukaryotic LSU rRNA". It matches the Rfam family "Eukaryotic large subunit ribosomal RNA", at positions 1 to 330 of the family's 3401-position model. The record is from RNAcentral. Lineage: Eukaryota; Fungi; Ascomycota; Pichiomycetes; Serinales; Debaryomycetaceae.